GAAGGGCGUUUGGUGAAUGCCUUGGCAGUAAGAGGCGAUGAAGGACGUGAUACUCUGCGAUAAGCUAGGGGGAGCCGAGAAUAGGCUUUGAUCCCUGGAUCUCCGAAUGGGGCAACCCACUUGAUACUCUGUUAUUGUUAGCUUUUGCUGAUCAAUAACCGGGUAAACCAAGUACUUUUAACCUGAAUACAUAGGGUUUUAAGAGCGAACCCGGGGAACUGAAACAUCUAAGUACCCGGAGGAAAGGAAAUCAACAGAUACUCCCCUAGUAGCGGCGAGCGAACGGGGACCAGCCGAGCCUUGAGAGUGACCAGAACAAUCUGGAAAGAUUGACCAUAGUGGGUGACAGUCCCGUAUGG
Molecule: ribosomal RNA, 359 nt
Filed under: Thalassovita mediterranea
Lineage: Bacteria; Pseudomonadati; Pseudomonadota; Alphaproteobacteria; Rhodobacterales; Roseobacteraceae
Description: bacterial LSU rRNA
Rfam family: Bacterial large subunit ribosomal RNA
Source: RNAcentral